AAAUUGAAGAGUUUGAUCAUGGCUCAGAUUGAACGCUGGCGGCAGGCCUAACACAUGCAAGUCGAACGGUAACAGAAAGCAGCUUGCUGCUUUGCUGACGAGUGGCGGACGGGUGAGUAAUGUCUGGGAAACUGCCUGAUGGAGGGGGAUAACUACUGGAAACGGUAGCUAAUACCGCAUAACGUCGCAAGACCAAAGAGGGGGACCUUCGGGCCUCUUGCCAUCGGAUGUGCCCAGAUGGGAUUAGCUAGUAGGUGGGGUAACGGCUCACCUAGGCGACGAUCCCUAGCUGGUCUGAGAGGAUGACCAG
RNAcentral lists this ribosomal RNA (310 nucleotides) under Escherichia coli. RNAcentral describes it as "bacterial SSU rRNA". It matches the Rfam family "Bacterial small subunit ribosomal RNA", at positions 1 to 307 of the family's 1533-position model. The record is from RNAcentral. Lineage: Bacteria; Pseudomonadati; Pseudomonadota; Gammaproteobacteria; Enterobacterales; Enterobacteriaceae.